AACGAACGCUGGCGGCAUGCCUAACACAUGCAAGUCGAACGAGACCUUCGGGUCUAGUGGCGCACGGGUGCGUAACGCGUGGGAACCUGCCCUUAGGUUCGGAAUAACUCCCCGAAAGGGGUGCUAAUACCGGAUAAUGUCUUCGGACCAAAGAUUUAUCGCCUUUGGAUGGGCCCGCGUUGGAUUAGCUAGUUGGUAGGGUAAAAGCCUACCAAGGCGACGAUCCAUAGCUGGUCUGAGAGGAGGAUCAGCCACACUGGGACUGAGACACGGCCCAGACUCCUACGGGAGGCAGCAGUGGGGAAUAUUGGACAAUGGGCGAAAGCCUGAUGCAGCAAUGCCGCGUGAGUGAUGAAGGCCUUAGGGUUGUAAAGCUCUUUUACCCGGGAUGAUAAUGACAGUACCGGGAGAAUAAGCUCCGGCUAACUCCGUG
RNAcentral lists this ribosomal RNA (433 nucleotides) under uncultured bacterium. RNAcentral describes it as "partial 16S ribosomal RNA". It matches the Rfam family "Bacterial small subunit ribosomal RNA", at positions 29 to 507 of the family's 1533-position model. The record is from RNAcentral.